Long non-coding RNA from Paramormyrops kingsleyae, 1124 nucleotides. RefSeq lists it as uncharacterized. The record is from RefSeq and is a predicted model, not a curated record. Lineage: Eukaryota; Metazoa; Chordata; Actinopteri; Osteoglossiformes; Mormyridae.
UGCUCUCUGGUCCAGUCAAAAGGUCUGUGUCUAUUCAUAUAUUAUAUAAAGCAGAAAUUACACAAGUCGGAGCUUCUGCAACUCCCUAAAACUGCAUAUUUCCAGGUUACGUGCUGCAGAUACGAACUUCAAGAAACCUUACGAAAACGCCAACACCCUCCCGAGGAUUGUGGGUGGAUGCAUUACUAUGAAUAUUGAUCCCGGUUGCAGGGUUGGGUGAGAGGAUUGUGGCGUGCAACAAUGUCACCUGGUGUUACUGACCGCUGCUUCUGAUCUGCAGCUAGGAGGUCCACUUCCCAGCCGUGGCACCAUGCCUGGUGAAGUCGCGUCCAAAUGCCAGCCUGUAGAGCCUGAUAUGGCAAAUGAAGGCCUGAAGCUUCUGUUCCCGGAGCAUCAUGGGAGUCACCGUACGGUGGCACACCGCGCUACAAUAUGUAAAACCAGCUGUCCGGGAUAAUUUAUGUCGCAUGACAAAUUUUACACCCUUGAGUAUAUAGUAAUGGGGAAAAGUAAACUAGAUGUAUAUGCAGAAUCCGUUCUCUAGUAACAAGCCGCCUUUAACAUAAAUUCAAGAAGCCAUAUUUGUCGCUGAUUUCACUUCGUGCUGGUAUCUGUUUAGGGUAAUGCUUUCGACGUCUGAACUGUAACGUAAUUUAUGUGUUCAGAGAAUGCAGCUACCGACAGAUUUCCUAUGUUUAUACAGAUGGUUAUUUAAUGAAGCGCUGCAGGUUAAGUGGCUCACAUUUUUCACAAACUCACAUCACUGGGCACCAAACCUGUCUGUUGAUAUACAUGGUCAAAGAGACACAUCGGUGCUAAUAUGAGGCUUUUAAGAACGCCUUGUCUUCUGCUACUCUGGAUUCCGGAAGAAGUCCCCUCAUCCGCCGCCAUUUCAUCAACAAAAGCUGCCCUCCUGAGUCAAUUUAUCCAGGCGUUUUCAAUUGGGGGAAAAUAUGUGGCCCAUUGAGCCAUGUGCUGUCUUCUGCCAUUAUGGCAGCGUGAUGAUUCGCGACCAGGGAGAGGCCUUGUGGCCCCUCAGCCUCAAGGUCACACCAUGUGUGUCUAGAAGGUUUCUGUAUUUUUGCAACAGGCAGUCCAAAGGGGCCUAUAACUGUUUGCCCUAC